This 525-nucleotide ribosomal RNA is filed under the name Lodderomyces parapsilosis. RNAcentral describes it as "eukaryotic LSU rRNA". The stretch from base 182 to 335 matches the Rfam family "5.8S ribosomal RNA". Lineage: Eukaryota; Fungi; Ascomycota; Pichiomycetes; Serinales; Debaryomycetaceae. The record is from RNAcentral.
UCCGUAGGUGAACCUGCGGAAGGAUUUUUGUGGCCGGCUUAAGUGCUUCUCUGCAUUUUUUCUUACACAUGUGUUUUUCUUUUUUUGAAAACUUUGCUUUGGUAGGCCUACUAUAUGGGGCCUGCCAGAGAUUAAACUCAACCAAAUUUUAUUUAAUGUCAACCGAUUAUUUAAUAGUCAAAACUUUCAACAACGGAUCUCUUGGUUCUCGCAUCGAUGAAGAACGCAGCGAAAUGCGAUAAGUAAUAUGAAUUGCAGAUAUUCGUGAAUCAUCGAAUCUUUGAACGCACAUUGCGCCCUUUGGUAUUCCAAAGGGCAUGCCUGUUUGAGCGUCAUUUCUCCCUCAAACCCUCGGGUUUGGUGUUGAGCGAUACGCUGGGUUUGCUUGAAAGAAAGGCGGAGUAUAAACUAAUGGAUAGGUUUUUUCCACUCAUUGGUACAAACUCCAAAACUUCUUCCAAAUUCGACCUCAAAUCAGGUAGGACUACCCGCUGAACUUAAGCAUAUCAAUAAGCGGAGGAAAAG